This 234-nucleotide unclassified non-coding RNA is filed under the name fungal sp. RNAcentral describes it as "partial contains 5.8S ribosomal RNA, internal transcribed spacer 2, and large subunit ribosomal RNA". The stretch from base 1 to 50 matches the Rfam family "5.8S ribosomal RNA", at positions 105 to 154 of the family's 154-position model. The record is from RNAcentral. Lineage: Eukaryota; Fungi.
CGCAAAUUGCGCCCUUUGGUAUUCCGAAGGGCAUGCCUGUUUGAGUGUCGUAUAGACCUUCACCCGUCCAUUUGCUUGGUCGAGGUGCUUUGGACGUUCUGCCAUUAACCCUGGCUCGUCUUAAAUGUCUGAGUGGAUCCGUCUGGCGUGAUAAGUCUUCGCUUUGACACCUUUCACUAUAAAUCAUACUUCAUCUCUGACCUCAAAUCAGGUAGGACUACCCGCUGAACUUAA